Molecule: ribosomal RNA, 488 nt
Filed under: uncultured actinomycete
Lineage: Bacteria; Bacillati; Actinomycetota; Actinomycetes; Actinomycetales
Description: bacterial SSU rRNA
Rfam family: Bacterial small subunit ribosomal RNA
Source: RNAcentral
UAGAGUUUGAUCAUGRCUCAGAAUCAACGCUGGCGGCGUGCCUAACACAUGCAAGUCGAACGAGAAAGGGGAGCAAUCCCUGAGUACAGUGGCGACCGGGUGAGUAACACGUGACUAACCUACCCUCGAGUGUGGAAUAACAUCGGGAAACCGAUGCUAAUACCGCAUAAUAUYGCAAGAUCAAAGGAGCAAUCCGCUUGAGGAGGGGGUCGCGGCUGAUUAGCUAGUUGGCGGGGUAACGGCCCACCAAGGCGAAGAUCGGUAUCCGGCCUGAGAGGGCGCACGGACACACUGGAACUGAAACACGGUCCAGACUCCUACGGGAGGCAGCAGUGGGGRAWUUUKGSSCAAUGGGGGAAACCCUGACGCAGCAACGCCGCGUGGAGGAUGAAGCCCCUUGGGGCGUAAACUCCUUUCGACCRAGACGAUAAUGACGGUACUGGUGGAAGAAGCACCGGCUAACUCUGUGCCAGCCGCCGCGGKAAUUC